This 89-nucleotide microRNA precursor is filed under the name Chlorocebus sabaeus (green monkey). RNAcentral describes it as "miRNA (ENSCSAG00000023181.1)". The record is from RNAcentral. Lineage: Eukaryota; Metazoa; Chordata; Mammalia; Primates; Cercopithecidae.
GAGAGGAUCUAGUAAAGCACUGGUCUCAGCAGAUUGAGGAGAGCACCACAGUGGUCACCACACAGCCCACCGAGGUUGGAGCUGCUGAG